UACAGCCAUAUCACAUUGAAUCACUGGUUCCUGUAUGAUCACAAGUUAAGCAAUGUCAAGCCUGAUCAGUAUCUAGAUGGGUGACUGUUUGGGAAUACCAGGUGCUGUAA
Molecule: non-coding RNA, 110 nt
Organism: Acanthosepion pharaonis
Lineage: Eukaryota; Metazoa; Mollusca; Cephalopoda; Sepiida; Sepiidae
Source: the annotation of a GenBank genome assembly